Puntigrus tetrazona (Sumatra barb) is the source of this 752-nucleotide long non-coding RNA. RefSeq lists it as uncharacterized. The record is from RefSeq and is a predicted model, not a curated record. NCBI's taxonomy places the organism in Eukaryota, Metazoa, Chordata, Actinopteri, Cypriniformes, Cyprinidae. The transcript is spliced from 4 exons.
AGUUAACAUGCCUUACUGAGCAGUCCAUUGAUUCAUCUGCCUGUUAUAUUGUGAUCUCUGCCUGUUUGCUUUACCUGAUUACCUCCUAUGGAUUUGCCCUCUAACCUGAAUACUUCACCUACCGAGAAUCCAGCAGGUUUUGUUAAUUGGGCUCGGUUUUGGAUCUGCAACCAGCAUUUGCUUAUCAGCAAGACCUGCUUCUAAACUACCAAGAACAACUCAACAAAGUUCAGGCAGUAAACAAGCACUGCCACCACCAUCUCCCCAGAUGGAAAAAAACUGUCCUCGGCAACAUAACAUCCCGAAACUACACCUCAGAUGAAGCCAGAAGAACCGUCGCAAGUUUCAAAGAUGAAUAACGGCGCGUUCUGGGCUUCAUUCAGCGCGGCUCUUAUCUGCACCGCUGCAGAGGCCGGUUAGUGGUUCCUGUUAUUGCGGUUUCAUGUCACGGAGGCCGAUCCGCGCACCCAGCUUGGCCGUGCAGCGAUCCACCAGCCUUUUUCACCAUCGAACAAUUCAGAUUGUGUGCAGCACCUCGGCGAAGAAUUUCGAUUGUUUGUUAUUACAAUGCCAGCCCUCGGUAGGCCCAGCGAGCGUUGUUUUGACGUCCGAGAACAAUCAGCGUUUGCAAUAAAAGGAGACCCUGUCCUCCCUGCGCACUGCGAAGGUCUUCCCGAAUUGCUGGAAAGCUUGAACAGGGUCCAAUGUGUUUUUCCUGUAGCUGGAGAGUUUUUUUUUUUUUUUUUUGUGUA